GAUGAACGCUGGCGGCGUGCCUAAUACAUGCAAGUCGAGCGAACAGACGCGGAGCUUGCUUCUCUGACGUUAGCGGCGGACGGGUGAGUAACACGUGGAUAACCUCCCUAUAAGACUGGGAUAACCUCGGGAAACCGGCGCUAAUACCGGAUAAUAUAUUGAACCGCAUGGUUCAUUAGUGAAAGACGGUUUUGUUGUCACUUAUAGAUGGAUACGCGCUGCAUUAGCUAGUUGGUAAGGUAACGGCUUACCAAGGCAACGAUGCGUAGCCGACUUGCGGGGGGGAUCGGCCACACUGGAACGGAGACACGGUCCAGACUCCUACGGGAGGCAGCAGUAGGGAAUCUGCCGCAAUGGGGGGAAGCCUGACGGAGCAACGGCGCGUGAGUGAUGAAGGUCUUCCGAGCGUAAAACUCUGUUAUUAGGGAAGAACAAAUGUGUACGUAGCUAUGCACGUCGUGACGGUACCUAAUCAAAAAGCCACGGCUAACUACGUG
This 497-nucleotide ribosomal RNA is filed under the name uncultured bacterium. RNAcentral describes it as "partial 16S ribosomal RNA". It matches the Rfam family "Bacterial small subunit ribosomal RNA", at positions 28 to 507 of the family's 1533-position model. The record is from RNAcentral.